This 210-nucleotide ribosomal RNA is filed under the name Triticum aestivum (bread wheat). RNAcentral's name for it is "partial small subunit ribosomal RNA". The record is from RNAcentral. Lineage: Eukaryota; Viridiplantae; Streptophyta; Magnoliopsida; Poales; Poaceae.
AUGGUGGCGGAGGGGGAGGAAAAGAAGAAGAUGGUGAUGUUGCGGAGCGAGGACGGCGUGGACUUCGUGCUGUCAGAGGCAGAGGCCGAGGCCCAUUGCGGCAGGAAAAUCAAAAUAAUGAUGAAGCACGACUUCGAGAACCACGUCAUCCCUUCCGACGACGGCGGCGGCGGCGAAAUCAAGUACUGCCUCAUCCGCCUCUCCGUCUGA